Molecule: ribosomal RNA, 433 nt
Filed under: uncultured bacterium
Lineage: Bacteria
Description: partial 16S ribosomal RNA
Rfam family: Bacterial small subunit ribosomal RNA
Source: RNAcentral
AUCGAACGCUGGCGGCAGGCCUAACACAUGCAAGUCGAACGAACUCUUCGGAGUUAGUGGCGGACGGGUGAGUAACACGUGGGAACGUGCCUUUUGGUUCGGAAUAACUCAGGGAAACUUGUGCUAAUACCGAAUGUGCCCUUCGGGGGAAAGAUUUUUCGCCAUUAGAGCGGCCCGCGUCUGAUUAGCUAGUUGGUGAGGUAACGGCACACCAAGGCGACGAUCAGUAGCUGGUCUGAGAGGAUGACCAGCCACACUGGAACUGAGACACGGCCCAGACUCCUACGGGAGGCAGGAGUGGGGAAUCUUGCGCAAUGGGCGAAAGCAUGACGCAGCCAUGGCGCGUGAAUGAUGAAGGUCUUAGGAUUGUAAAAUUCUUUCACCGGGGACGAUAAUGACGGUACCCGGAGAAGAAGCCCCGGCUAACUUCGUG